Leptopilina heterotoma is the source of this 2168-nucleotide long non-coding RNA. RefSeq lists it as uncharacterized. NCBI's taxonomy places the organism in Eukaryota, Metazoa, Arthropoda, Insecta, Hymenoptera, Figitidae. The transcript has 4 exons. The record is from RefSeq and is a predicted model, not a curated record.
GGACAACAAAAGGAAAAAAAUAAAUCCUCUGCUAAAAUAAUGUGUGUAGGUGUGCUUAGCGAAAUUAAGAAAACCAGCUAAUAUAAAAUUAAUUACAAAUAAACACACGUGUAUAUGAUCAAAUAAUAAUAAUACAAUAAAAACAAUGUUAAUCUUCUUCAUUUUUGUUUGUUUUUUUAGGUUAUAAUUAAAAACGUGCCGCGAGAAGGCGAGAAGUUAAUCGCUAAUCAAUAAAUCGAAAGUGGUGGCGCUGGUGAUCGUAACCAACUUCAGAGUGUAUUCACUAAAAAUGGCGACGAUGGCGACGAUCACGUUCCAUUGUUUUGAGGUAAAUUUUAAUAAACAGUUGUAAUAAUUGUAUAUUUAUUGCUUAUUCUCAACAAAAUUGUCAAGAAGUUAAAGUAACAAUUACAAUUUUCGUUUAAUAUAAACUUAGUUUGUUGGAAUAGUUAAUGAAAUUCUGAUUUAUAAAGUGCUGACUUCUGGGCAUUCCUGGGAGGAAUAUUUGUCGAUUUAUUUUGCGUUUAAAUAUUUAAUUCUCAAUUGUAGGCAAUAUUUUCAGGAAGUUAAAAUUUUUUCUAUUUAUUUUAAUUCAUUUGUGUGUUUUGGUUUUAGAAAAAUGCUUUACUUAAAGUUCAGGGGUUGAGUGUAGGAAAAGAUGUAAAUUAUAGAAUUUUUACUUAAAUAUCUCCAGCUUUGUAUUCAAAAGAUCUAAAGUAUUAAAGUAUCGAAUAAUUUGUAUUAUUUUAAUUAUUUAUACGAUUUAUACUUUUUAUAUAUUAAUAAAUAAUAAACAACCGGUGUAAGUUACGUAACAAACUAAGUUUCUCGUAGCUGCCCAACCCUGUAUUUAGUUACGGGAAUCCCUUGAAAUUGGCAAUAUUCGAGAGUGGGGGUUACUGCCAACUUCAGACUGUUUAGUAAAGUUACUUCGACACUUCGACCCGCAUCCAUUGCUUUUGAUUGUUAUAAAUUAUAGAUUAGAUAAACAGUAAUUAAUAAUUGUCUUGGAAUAUUAUUUGCUGAAGCAUAUCCAGUACAUCUAGGUAUCCUAAGGUUAGUUGUUUACAGUUUUUGUUUGCUCUGGCAUUAUCAUAAAAUAGCCCGGAAUUCUGUAUAAACUGAGAUUUAACCGAUUUAACUUUUAAUCACGGGAUCAUUCGUGUACCAAUUGUUAUAGAAUUGUUUUGUUUCAACUUUAAAAGAGAUUUACUCGAAACAGUUACUUUAAUCUUAAAUUUAUAAUCUGUUCUUUCGGGAUCAAAUAAAUACCUAGUGAAAGUAAAUAAAUAUAUUUUCAAAAAUGUUAAAAUCGUUAAAAUUAGUAACCGGUCUGAAGUUAAUUGCAUAUUACCUCCAUCUGUGGUCGAGAAUUCGAUAUUUGAACUUCGAUUGUUACAAAGUUCACUUUGUUCACUUUUUUCGGCAGUUGAGUGUUUGUGUUAUUAUUUUCAUAAAAAUAACAAGAUUUAUAGGCUUUUCCUUAUGUAAUUAUAGUAUAAAUCAAUUAAAGUUUUUAAUGCUAACUGAGUAACGAUGAUUUGAAUAAGUAAUAAAUUAAUUCACAUAGUUUUAUCCAUGUUUGGAUAUGCAAAGCAAGCAAUGGUCGUAAUCCAACCAAAGGAACCAAAGUACAAAAAUUUCCUCUAUUAUUAAAGAAAUCAGUGAAAAUUUACGAGUAAUACCAGUCCAAAAAAGUGUGAGUAAUAAUAUUUGCAAAGAAAAUGAGAAAAGUUUCGAAAUAAUUUAAACGAAGUGUUGAAAAGUUAGAAAGGAACAAAGUGGAAUUCCUAACCUAAAAAUUGCCGACAAUGUCAACAAAGUGAUUAACUAUUUCAAAACUGAAAACUAUUCUACUAGCUGUAAUAAGUCAUGACUGGAAGGAUUCAGGAAAGGAAUAAUUGGAUUACUAAGGAUUCUCGACAUUUAACAGACGAUGGUAAAGUUUGCUUCACCAUCUGCGCUGCUGCAUUCAAGUUUAAGAUUUCUUGAAGAAAGCAACUAAAAGAGCAACUAUUUGGAUUUAAUAGUGUGUUUCUAUAUAAUAUGAGAAAAAAAAGUUUCCUCCCACUUGAAAAGUCAACGUCCCAUUUUUUUUGGAGAAGGAAAGAAGAAAAGGAAAAAAAAAUAAACAAACGUCAACGAAAAUGAGGAAACUCACCUGUUUU